Molecule: long non-coding RNA, 987 nt
Organism: Argentina anserina (silverweed cinquefoil)
Lineage: Eukaryota; Viridiplantae; Streptophyta; Magnoliopsida; Rosales; Rosaceae
Exons: 9
Source: RefSeq, a predicted model, not a curated record
CAGCCUUAGAUCAGCUCUUGAGAUUUGAGUCUCAACACUUCUUACCUUUCUCAUCCCCUCCCUCUUCCUUCUCUUGUUCUUUCGUUGCUGCGCAGGUCUUCCUUCUCCUGCUUCAACUUCUUCAGUCGCCAUUGGCGGCCUGCCAUCACUACAAGCUAACUACCGACCCAACUAGCUACUGGUCCUGGAAGCUUUAACAGCAAGGUCGCCCGUUCAAAAAAUUGGACAAUACUAGAAACAGUUGCCCGGGUUAAGUCAAAUAAAAACGAGUCGAAAGAGGAAAACGUAAAUAGGUCGUUUCAGCUAAAUGAUAUUUUGGAUAAUGAUAAUGGAGUGGAAGAAACCCCGACACUGGUAAAUCGCAAAGGUUCCAACUCAAAGCACCAGCCAUUUUCAAUUUCGGGAUUUUCACCGUCUGGUAAUAAUCAAAUUGUGAUUUGGCUGUAGGAGGUUAAUAUGUUAUGUUCUUGACUUCCCAUAGUUAAAUCAUGGCAAAGAGAAAUGGUAUGCACCCUUCAAUGGUUUCCUAAGCUUCUAGUCUCAUUGAGCAACUGCCAAUAUUGAAGAUGUUGAUGUUACUGAUAAUAAGAUAAAGGUUGUUGAUGUAGUAAAGCUACAUGUACAAACUGUUUCUUAUGGAAAAAAUCGCUAAAAGAGGUGUUGGAAGCAGAUUCUCCUCUGCGAAUUUGAAGAAAUGUAGCUAUUUACUAAGCUUAGAGUUAGAUGAAGGUGGAGAUGGAGUUAUGAUGCCAUACUUCUAUUAGUAGCAGAGAAGUUGUCUUUAGUUAAUUGGACUUGCCUAUGGGAAUAUUAGUAAGGUUUUUGGUUUUUGUUUAUUGGAUGAAAACCGUACACGUUAUUUGCUCAUGUAAUUAGGUGCUUGUGGUUUAUCUUUUCUUUUACUUACAAACAAAAUUAGACUUAAUUGUUGUUUCUUCUGUGGUGCUGAGUUAAUAAUCCAGCCAGUUUGAUUAAUCAAGCUCACUU